This 462-nucleotide ribosomal RNA is filed under the name uncultured bacterium. Its description in RNAcentral is "partial 16S ribosomal RNA". It matches the Rfam family "Bacterial small subunit ribosomal RNA", at positions 28 to 507 of the family's 1533-position model. The record is from RNAcentral.
GACGAACGCUGGCGGCGUGCUUAACACAUGCAAGUCGAGCGGAAAGGCCCUUCGGGGUACUCGAGCGGCGAACGGGUGAGUAACACGUGAGUAACCUGCCCCAGACUUUGGGAUAACCCUCGGAAACGGGGGCCAAUACCGGAUACGACACAGCUUCGCAUGGGGUCUGUGUGGAAAGUUUUUCGGUUUGGGUUGGGCUCGCGGCCUAUCAGCUUGUUGGUGGGGUGAUGGCCUACCAAGGCGACGACGGGUAGCCGGCCUGAGAGGGCGACCGGCCACACUGGGACUGAGACACGGCCCAGACUCCUACGGGAGGCAGCAGUGGGGAAUAUUGCACAAUGGGCGGAAGCCUGAUGCAGCGACGCCGCGUGAGGGAUGACGGCCUUCGGGUUGUAAACCUCUUUCAGCAGGGACGAAGCGUAAGUGACGGUACCUGCAGAAGAAGCGCCGGCCAACUACGUG